Molecule: ribosomal RNA, 888 nt
Filed under: uncultured soil bacterium
Lineage: Bacteria
Description: bacterial SSU rRNA
Rfam family: Bacterial small subunit ribosomal RNA
Source: RNAcentral
UGCGCCCAUGUAGACAUACAGGUGGCGCACGGCGCACGGGUGCGUAACACGUGGGUAAUCUGCCCUUCGAUGGGGAAUAACCUCGCGAAAGCGAGGCUAAUUCCGCAUAACAUUCCGAGAACUUUGGUUUUUGGAUUCAAAGGCGUAAGUCGUCGGAGGAGGAGCCCGCGCACGAUUAGCUAGUUGGUGAGGUAACGGCUCACCAAGGCUUUGAUCGUUAGCUGGUCUGAGAGGAUGGCCAGCCACACUGGAACUGAGACACGGUCCAGACUCCUACGGGAGGCAGCAGUGGGGAAUCUUGCACAAUGGGCGAAAGCCUGAUGCAGCGACGCCGCGUGGGGGAUGAAGCUUUUCGGAGUGUAAACCCCUUUCGACCCGGACGAAUGCCCCGCAAGGGGACUGACGGUACGGGUAUAAGAAGCCCCGGCUAACUACGUGCCAGCAGCCGCGGUAAUACGUAGGGGGCCAGCGUUGCUCGGAAUUACUGGGUGUAAAGGGUUCGUAGGCGGUGUGGCAAGUCGGGAGUGAAAUCUCUGGGCUCAACCCAGAGACGGCUUCCGAAACUGCUGUGCUUGAGUGUGGGAGAGGCGCGUGGAAUUGCAGGUGUAGCGGUGAAAUGCGUAGAUAUCUGCAGGAACACCCGUGGCGAAAGCGGCGCGCUGGACCACAACUGACGCUGAGGAACGAAAGCUAGGGGAGCAAACAGGAUUAGAUACCCUGGUAGUCCUAGCCCUAAACGAUCGGGACUUGGGGUGCCGCACGUUCGUGCGUCGUCCCGGAGCUAACGCGUUAAGUCCCGCACCUGGGGAGUACGGUCGCAAGACUGAAACUCAAAGGAAUUGACGGGGCCCGCACAAGCGGUGGAACAUGUGGUUCAAUUCGACGCUG